CGUUCAUGCUGAUAAAGGACCUUGUCUGGAUUUACUGAUUUCAAUAUCAAGCUUAAACUAAAAUUCUGAAAAA
Molecule: small nucleolar RNA, 73 nt
Organism: Suncus etruscus (white-toothed pygmy shrew)
Lineage: Eukaryota; Metazoa; Chordata; Mammalia; Eulipotyphla; Soricidae
Product: small nucleolar RNA SNORD107
Exons: 1
Source: RefSeq, a predicted model, not a curated record